UACCUGGUUGAUUCUGCCAGUAGUCAUAUGCUUGUCUCAAAGAUUAAGCCAUGCAUGUCUAAGUAUAAGCAAUUUAUACCGUGAAACUGCGAAUGGCUCAUUAAAUCAGUUAUCGUUUAUUUGAUAGUACUUUACUACUUGGAUAACCGUGGUAAUUCUAGAGCUAAUACAUGCUAAAAGCCCCGACUUCGGAAGGGGUGUAUUUAUUAGAUAAAAAACCAAUGCCCUCCGGGGCUCCUCGGUGAUUCAUAAUAACUUAACGAAUCGCACGGCCUUGUGCCGGCGAUGGUUCAUUCAAAUUUUUGCCCUAUCAACUUUCGAUGGUAGUAUAUGGGACUACCAUGGUUUCAACGGGUAACGGGGAAUUAGGGUUCUAUUCCGGAGAGGGAGCCUGAGAAACGGCUACCACAUCCAAGGAAGGCAGCAGGCGCGCAAAUUACCCAAUCCCGACACGGGGAGGUAGUGACAAUAAAUACUGAUACAGGGCUCUUUUGGGUCUUGUAAUUGGAAUGAGUACAAUUUAAAUCCCUUAACGAGGAACAAUUGGAGGGCAAGUCUGGUGCCAGCAGCCGCGGUAAUUCCAGCUCCAAUAGCGUAUAUUAAAGUUGUUGCAGUUAAAAAGCUCGUAGUUGAACCUUGGGCCUGGCUGGCCGGUCCGCCUCACCGCGUGCACUGGUCCGGCCGGGUCUUUCCUCCUGGGGAGCCACAUGCCCUUCACUGGGUGUGUUGGGGAACCAGGACUUUUACUUUGAAAAAAUUAGAGUGUUCAAAGCAGGCCUAUGCUCGAAUACAUUAGCAUGGAAUAAUAGAAUAGGACGUGUGGUUCUAUUUUGUUGGUUUCUAGGACCGCCGUAAUGAUUAAUAGGGAUAGUCGGGGGCAUCAGUAUUCAAUUGUCAGAGGUGAAAUUCUUGGAUUUAUUGAAGACUAACUACUGCGAAAGCAUUUGCCAAGGAUGUUUUCAUUAAUCAGUGAACGAAAGUUAGGGGAUCGAAGACGAUCAGAUACCGUCGU
RNAcentral lists this non-coding RNA (1012 nucleotides) under Blumeria hordei DH14. Its description in RNAcentral is "Blumeria graminis f. sp. hordei DH14 Eukaryotic small subunit ribosomal RNA". It matches the Rfam family "Eukaryotic small subunit ribosomal RNA", at positions 1 to 1021 of the family's 1831-position model. The record is from Rfam by way of RNAcentral. Lineage: Eukaryota; Fungi; Ascomycota; Leotiomycetes; Helotiales; Erysiphaceae.